AGCAGUAGCCACGGUAAUACGAGGGGGGCAAGCGUUGUUCGGAAUUACUGGGCGUAAAGCGUGCGCAGGCGGUUCCGCAAGUCAGAUGUGAAAUCCCCGGGCUCAACCUGGGAACUGCAUUUGAAACUACGGGGCUAGAGUGUGUCAGAGGGGGGUGGAAUUCCACGUGUAGCGGUGAAAUGCGUAGAUAUCGGAAGGAACACCAGUGGCGAAGGCGGCUACCUGGACUGACACUGACACUGAGGCGCGAAAGCGUGGGGAGCAAACAGGAUUAGAUACCCCUGUAGUCCCUGUCUCUUAUAC
This 303-nucleotide ribosomal RNA is filed under the name uncultured bacterium. Its description in RNAcentral is "partial 16S ribosomal RNA". It matches the Rfam family "Bacterial small subunit ribosomal RNA", at positions 507 to 807 of the family's 1533-position model. The record is from RNAcentral.